RNAcentral lists this ribosomal RNA (252 nucleotides) under uncultured bacterium. RNAcentral's name for it is "partial 16S ribosomal RNA". It matches the Rfam family "Bacterial small subunit ribosomal RNA", at positions 524 to 774 of the family's 1533-position model. The record is from RNAcentral.
UACGAAGGGGGCUAGCGUUGUUCGGAAUUACUGGGCGUAAAGCGCACGUAGGCGGAUCGAUCAGUCAGGGGUGAAAUCCCACGGCUCAACCGUGGAAGUGCACUCGAAACUGCAGGGCUAGAGUCCUGGAGAGGAAGGUGGAAUGCUUGGUGUAGAGGUGAAAUUCGUAGAUAUCAAGCGGAACACCGGUGGCGAAGGCGGCCUUCUGGACAGUGACUGACGCUGAGACGGCGAAAGCGUGGGGAGCAAACA